UCCUGGUUUGAUUGAAACGACGAAGAAGCUGUGCUAUUCCCAAACUGGGAAACUGGAAUCACCUGAUUUGAAAGUGAGAUAACUUCUUCUUGCAAAUUCCUAUGAGAUUUAUUCAACUUCCUGGUGAUUCUCCACCACUUUAUGUAUCCAAAUCAAGCUUCUUACAAAGUGAUUCAUCCUGGUUUGAUUGGAACGACGAACAAGCUGUGCUAUUCUCAAACUGGGAAACUGGAAUCACGUUAUUUAUAAGUGGGACAACUUCUUCAUCCCAACUCCUAUGAGAUUUAUUCAACUUCCUGGUGAUUCUCCACAACUUUAUGUAUCCAAAUCAAGUUUCUUACAAAGUGAUUCAUCCUGGUUUGAUUAGAACGACGAAGAAGCUGUGCUAUUCCCAAACUGGGAAACUGGACUUACCAGAUUUGAAAGUGGGAUAAUUUCUUCAUGCCAACUCCUAUGAGAUUUAUUCAACUUCCUGGUGAUUCUCCACCACUUUAUGUAUCCAAAUCAAGCUUCUCACAAAGUGAUUCAUCCUGGUUUGAUUGGAACGACGAACAAGCUGUGCUAUUCCCAAACUGGGAAACUGGAAUCACCUGAUUUGAAAGUGGGAUAAAUUCUUCAUGCCAACUCCUAUGAGAUUUAUUCAACUUCCUAGUGAUUCUCCACAACUUUAUGUAU
RNAcentral lists this long non-coding RNA (675 nucleotides) under Brassica napus (rape). RNAcentral's name for it is "long non-coding RNA (BNAP_LNC008574)". Lineage: Eukaryota; Viridiplantae; Streptophyta; Magnoliopsida; Brassicales; Brassicaceae. The record is from RNAcentral.